This 490-nucleotide ribosomal RNA is filed under the name uncultured bacterium. RNAcentral describes it as "partial 16S ribosomal RNA". It matches the Rfam family "Bacterial small subunit ribosomal RNA", at positions 30 to 507 of the family's 1533-position model. The record is from RNAcentral.
AUUGAACGCUGGCGGCAGGCCUAACACAUGCAAGUCGAACGGUAACAGGAAGAAGCUUGCUUCUUUGCUGACGAGUGGCGGACGGGUGAGUAAUGUCUGGGAAACUGCCUGAUGGAGGGGGAUAACUACUGGAAACGGUAGCUAAUACCGCAUAACGUCGCAAGACCAAAGAGGGGGACCUUCGGGCCUCUUGCCAUCGGAUGUGCCCAGAUGGGAUUAGCUAGUAGGUGGGGUAACGGCUCACCUAGGCGACGAUCCCUAGCUGGUCUGAGAGGAUUACCAGCCACACUGGAACUGAGACACGGUCCAGACUCCUACGGGAGGCAGCAGUGGGGAAUAUUGCACAAUGGGCGCAAGCCUGAUGCAGCCAUGCCGCGUGUAUGAAGAAGGCCUUCUGGUUGUAAAGUACUUUCAGCGGGGAGGAAGGGAGUAAAGUUAAUACCUUUGCUCAUUGACGUUACCCGCAGAAGAAGCACCGGCUAACUCCGUG